This 76-nucleotide transfer RNA is filed under the name Actinomycetes bacterium. Its description in RNAcentral is "tRNA-Arg". It matches the Rfam family "tRNA". Rfam says of the family: Transfer RNA (tRNA) molecules are approximately 80 nucleotides in length. Their secondary structure includes four short double-helical elements and three loops (D, anti-codon, and T loops). Further hydrogen bonds mediate the characteristic L-shaped molecular structure. tRNAs have two regions of fundamental functional importance: the anti-codon, which is responsible for specific mRNA codon recognition, and the 3' end, to which the tRNAs corresponding amino acid is attached (by aminoacyl-tRNA synthetases). tRNAs cope with the degeneracy of the genetic code in two manners: having more than one tRNA (with a specific anti-codon) for a particular amino acid; and 'wobble' base-pairing, i.e. permitting non-standard base-pairing at the 3rd anti-codon position. The record is from RNAcentral. Lineage: Bacteria; Bacillati; Actinomycetota; Actinomycetes.
GCCUCCGUAGCUCAGGGGAUAGAGCACAGCUCUCCUAAAGCUGGUGUCGCGCGUUCGAAUCGCGCCGGGGGCACCA